Molecule: long non-coding RNA, 290 nt
Organism: Osmerus eperlanus (European smelt)
Lineage: Eukaryota; Metazoa; Chordata; Actinopteri; Osmeriformes; Osmeridae
Exons: 3
Source: RefSeq, a predicted model, not a curated record
CCUAUUCAGGCGACUACAGGGCAGACACACUGAAGAGGUGCCAGUGAUGGACCUACAGGUGGCCCAAACACAGGCUGAACUCCAAGACCUUGAGGAGCGCCUUAAGGUGCUGGAGUUCCGAAAGAGAGUGACGCUGUGAUGAAGUGGAAGACGGGACUGGGAGAGAAGGCUGUGGAGCUCGUCAUAGCGGAGACACUUAAACACGCCCCGGCAGCCCAUUCAAAACAAGCCAGGGCCAACAGACAGGACCUGUAGCGGGGACUGGCAGAAGAUUUUAAUUCACUGUUUGG